UGAAUACGAGAUGCUACGGCGUCGAAGCAGUGUAUGUCAGACUUCCAAGAAAAGCUCGCAAUGUCAUAAAUAAAGAAUGCCUGUACCAUAACCGACACAGGUGGGUAGGUAGAGUAUACUAAGGGGCGCGAGAUAACUCUCUCUAAGGAACUCGGCAAAAUAACUCCGUAACUUCGGGAGAAGGAGUGCCUUCUUUAAGAAGGUUGCAAUAACAAGAUCCAAGCAACUGUUUAUCAAAAACACAGGUCUCCGCUAAGUCGUAAGACGAUGUAUGGGGGCUGACGCCUGCCCAGUGCCAGAAGGUUAAAGAAGUUGGUUAGCUUUUGCGAAGCUGAUGACUGAAGCCCUGGUGAACGGCGGCCGUAACAAUAACGGUCCUAAGGUAGCGAAAUUCCUUGUCGGGUAAGUUCCGACCCGCACGAAAGGCGUAAUGAUUUGGAUACUGUCUCGGAGAGGGACUCGGUGAAAUAGACUUGUCUGUGAAGAUGCGGACUACCUGCACCAGGACAGAAAGACCCUAUGAAGCUUUACUGUAACUUGAAAUUGAAAUUGGACUUUAUUUGCGCAGUAUAGGUGGAAGGCGUUGAAAGUAAUCUUGCGGGAUUAGUGGAGCCAUCAGUGAGAUACCACUCCUAUAAUGUUAGAUUUCUAACUUUGGAUCAUGAUCUGGUCAAAGAACAGUUUCAGGCGGGCAGUUUGACUGGGGCGGUCGCCUCCCAAAUGGUAACGGAGGCGUACAAAGGUUUCCUCUGAACGGGUAGAAAUCGUAUCUAGAGUGUAAAGGCAUAAGGAAGCUUGACUGUGAGACCUACAAGUCGAGCAGGGACGAAAGUCGGUCUUAGUGAUCUGACGGUGCUGAGUGGAAAGGCCGUCACUCAACGGAUGAAAGUUACUCUAAGGAUAACAGGCUGAUCUCCCCCAAGAGUUCACAUCGACGGGGAGGUUUGGCACCUCGAUGUCGGCUCAUCGCAUCCUGGGGCGGUAGUACGUCCCAAGGGUUGGGCUGUUCGCCCAUGAAAGCGGUACGCGAGCUGGGUUCAGAACGUCGUGAGACAGUUCGGUCCAUAUCCGGUGUAGGCGUUAGAAUAUUGAGAGGAGCCUUCUUUAGUACGAGAGGACCGAGAAGGACAUACCUCUGGUGUACCAGUUAUCGUGCCAACGGUAAACGCUGGGUAGCUAUGUAUGGAGAGGAUAACCGCUGAAAGCAUCUAAGUGGGAAGCCCACCUCAAGAUGAGUAUUCUC
RNAcentral lists this ribosomal RNA (1243 nucleotides) under metagenome. RNAcentral's name for it is "bacterial LSU rRNA". It matches the Rfam family "Bacterial large subunit ribosomal RNA", at positions 1564 to 2815 of the family's 2925-position model. The record is from RNAcentral.